GCGUGAAGGAUGAAAGUCGUAAGAUUGUAAACUUCUUUUUUGAGGGACGAACAGUCAGGUUUCGCAAGGGGCCUGAUUUGACUGUACCUCUAGAAUAAGCCCCGGCUAACUACGUGCCAGCAGCCGCGGUAAUACGUAGGGGGCAAGCGUUGUCCGGAUUUACUGGGUAUAAAGGGCGCGCAGGCGGGUUUGUAAGUCAGAGGUGAAAUCCUACGGCUCAACCGUAGAACUGCCUUUGAUACUGCAAGCCUUGAGUUUGGAAGAGAGAGAUGGAAUUCCAGGUGUAGUGGUGAAAUACGU
Molecule: ribosomal RNA, 300 nt
Filed under: uncultured bacterium
Lineage: Bacteria
Description: bacterial SSU rRNA
Rfam family: Bacterial small subunit ribosomal RNA
Source: RNAcentral